ACCAACACAACCAAUCCCUACAAAAAUUACUUCUCUACACUAUCUAUGGCUCGAAUCGUAACCCCAAAGAGUGGAAUCCCACAGAAAUUAACUUCAAUUCCACUGCUUCAAUGGUUUCCCGGAAUGGGCAGUGCCCCGAUGGUGAUGCAACCAGUAUCGGAAAAGGAGGAAUCAAAAAGGGCAUUAAAGGAACCAGAUAUGACAACAACAGCGAGGAAGCUCAAUUUCUCAGUUGAAUCGCAGAAGCAAACUUUUACUGAAGUUGUUCAAGGUAAUCGAACCCCAAACAAAGGCAUG
Molecule: long non-coding RNA, 297 nt
Filed under: Nicotiana benthamiana
Lineage: Eukaryota; Viridiplantae; Streptophyta; Magnoliopsida; Solanales; Solanaceae
Description: long non-coding RNA (NBEN_LNC030821)
Source: RNAcentral